Molecule: long non-coding RNA, 428 nt
Organism: Alligator mississippiensis (American alligator)
Lineage: Eukaryota; Metazoa; Chordata; Crocodylia; Alligatoridae
Exons: 3
Source: RefSeq, a predicted model, not a curated record
AGUAGGAUGAUAUGGCUAGGUUAGAUGUGGUUUGACAAGUGGCAAGAAGAGGUUUUGCUGCGCUUUCCCAGCAUUGGGUUGGGAAGGCUUUUCAGUUUUAACUGACUUCCACAGCAGAAUGGUAUAGCCCAGCUUCCAUCUGAAACAGAUGGGUGCAUAAGAAGAAAAAGCAUGCUUUCCCAGAGAUAGAACCUUACACAUACAAAUCUUUCAUCCAGAUUUCUACAGCCUACCUUGUAGAACUGCAGAGGCAGCUGGGCAGAGUUCCAAAAUGACCUGUCAAGACAAGAAGCAAUGAUGUGGUGACUCAGCAGAAGCACUGUACAUCUUUGCAGUUCCACUGCAGCACUGUUCACUCGGAGUCUUCUGAGGAUAAGUUUAGUCUCUGAAAGUGAACAUCUACAUGUCCCUAGCUCCUUACCUUGGUA